UGGUGCCAGCAGCCGCGGUAAUUCCAGCUCCAACAGUGUAUGCUAAAGUUGUUGCGGUUGAAAAGCUCGUAGUUGGAUCUUGGGUGGGUGCCGCCGGUCCGUCGCAAGGCGUGUUACUGGCGGCGCUCGCCUCGGUUUCGGUUCUCCGUCGGUGCUCUUGACUGAGUGUCGGCGGUGGCCGAUAAGUUUACUUUGAAAAAAUUAGAGUGUUCAAAGCAGGCUGCUCGCCUGCAUAGUGUUGCAUGGAAUAAUGGAAUAGGACCUCGGUUCUAUUUUGUUGGUUUUCGGAGCACGAGGUAAUGAUUAAGAGGGACAGACGGGGGCGUCCGUACUC
RNAcentral lists this ribosomal RNA (334 nucleotides) under Aeolidia papillosa. RNAcentral describes it as "SSU rRNA". It matches the Rfam family "Eukaryotic small subunit ribosomal RNA", at positions 562 to 899 of the family's 1831-position model. The record is from RNAcentral. Lineage: Eukaryota; Metazoa; Mollusca; Gastropoda; Nudibranchia; Aeolidiidae.